This is a long non-coding RNA of Vespula pensylvanica (western yellowjacket), 1194 nucleotides long. RefSeq lists it as uncharacterized. NCBI's taxonomy places the organism in Eukaryota, Metazoa, Arthropoda, Insecta, Hymenoptera, Vespidae. The record is from RefSeq and is a predicted model, not a curated record. The transcript has 3 exons.
AAGAGAUAGAGAGUAAAAUGAAGUGACACAAUUUUCGCAAGCGCAAAACCGUGAAAUAUUGAGUCGUAUGCGCAGACGUGAGCACAAACGUAAAGUUCUCCAACGGCGUACAGAGACACGAUGAUUUUCCUUGCGGACCGUCGACAAAAGGGAGACAACGGUGACUUAUCACCCGUGCCAGAAGGAAUUACGAGCUUCUAAAAGGAGAGAAAGAAAAAAGGAAAAGAGUGAAAGAGAAAGAGAGAAAAAGAGAAAAAAGGAGAGGAAAAGAAAGAGAGAGAGGAAGAGUGAGACAUUGGAACACCCGAGAGUACGAGAAGAAGGUUCGAUCGAUCGAUCCGUAAAACAACAAAGUCAUUAUCUGCUUCGGACGUUCGAGCACAAGUGGCGCUUCCGAGAAGAGUUCCUGACGACGACGAAGAUGAUACGAGAAGUGAAAAAAGAGAAAGAAGAAAAGAAAGAGAGAGAGGGGAGAGAAAGCAAGAGAGAAAGAACGAAAAGAACGAACAAGGUUGUUCGAUGUAGAAAAAGUGUGAGAAUAUUUCUGCGACUCUGUAGAUCGUGCGAUUCAAUGAUUCGCAAAAAGAAAAAUCGACAUCUGGAAAGAAAAAGAAAGAAAAACAGAAUAUAUUCUCUAUUGAAAUAGAAGGCACGGUAUAAAUUACUUGAAAACAUAAAUUUUUAUUCAGAGGUUGGCAUUGGUGUGCUGCAAGAGGACUUUACUUUCUUUCUUUUUAUUUUUUUUUUAACUCGCCGUUAAGUAGAGGAUUACGUGAUUCAAGCUAUGGUAAAUACCGGGAGAAGAAAAAAGACGUCAUUAUCGUUAACGGUGCAUACCGAAUGCGGGGUCAUGAAGUGUGCCUUUAAGCCUCUUGGAUUGGGGUAUCGUCCUCGCGGAAGGUCUACAUAAUUUUUCUGCUUUCUGUUAUAUUUUUCUUGAAAAGAAACGACCGUAUGAAAAGCUCUUUACUUCAUGAAACAAGAAUGAAUAGAAGAAAAAGAGAAAGAGAAAGAAGAAAAUAAAAGGAAGCAAUGAUCUACGAAAAGAUCAAUCAACCUUAUAAGUCGAGCUAUUUUUAAUCAUUGUUUUCCAUUUCAAAUAAAAAUCUGAUAUAAUUAAAUAGGAUUUCGGUAUUUAAAAAUUAUAUUUAUCCAUCGAUUUAUCUAUUAACGUAUCGUAUAAAUUUGAUACAA